This 424-nucleotide ribosomal RNA is filed under the name uncultured microorganism. Its description in RNAcentral is "bacterial SSU rRNA". It matches the Rfam family "Bacterial small subunit ribosomal RNA", at positions 346 to 760 of the family's 1533-position model. The record is from RNAcentral.
GUGCAGCAGUCGCGAAUAGUCUACAAUGGACGAAAGUCUGGUAGUGCGACGCCGUGUGUGCGAUUAAUUCCUUCGGGAUGUAAAGCACUUUUCUAUGAGAUAAAAGCUCUUUAGGUUAAUAGCUUAUUGAGACGGAUAUUAUUAUAGGAAUAAGCUCCGGCUAACUCCGUGCCAGCAGCCGCGGUAAUACGGAAGGAGCGAGCGUUGUCCGGAUUUACUAGGCGUAAAGGGCUAGUAGGCGACUAAUUAAGUUAUAUGUUAAAUCCCACGGCUCAACUGUGGUCCUGCAUGUAAUACUGGUUAGAUAGAGUACUGUAGAGGAAGGCAGAAUUCCUGGAGUAGCGGUGGAAUGCGCAGAUAUCAGAAGAAUACCAAAAGCGAAGGCAGCCUUCUGGGACAGUUACUGACGCUGAAUAGCGAAGGU